RNAcentral lists this small RNA (555 nucleotides) under uncultured Fusobacterium sp. Its description in RNAcentral is "bacterial SSU rRNA". The stretch from base 1 to 338 matches the Rfam family "Bacterial small subunit ribosomal RNA", at positions 1197 to 1533 of the family's 1533-position model. Lineage: Bacteria; Fusobacteriati; Fusobacteriota; Fusobacteriia; Fusobacteriales; Fusobacteriaceae. The record is from RNAcentral.
GCCCCUUAUACGCUGGGCUACACACGUGCUACAAUGGGUAGUACAGAGAGUCGCAAAGCCGUGAGGUGGAGCUAAUCUCAGAAAACUAUUCUUAGUUCGGAUUGUACUCUGCAACUCGAGUACAUGAAGUUGGAAUCGCUAGUAAUCGCGAAUCAGCAAUGUCGCGGUGAAUACGUUCUCGGGUCUUGUACACACCGCCCGUCACACCACGAGAGUUGGUUGCACCUGAAGUAGCAGGCCUAACCGUAAGGAGGGAUGCUCCGAGGGUGUGAUUAGCGAUUGGGGUGAAGUCGUAACAAGGUAUCCGUACGGGAACGUGCGGAUGGAUCACCUCCUUUCUAAGGAGAAUAAGUCUUUCUCUAUUCUAUUGGUAAUGUUCUUUACAUUACUUCUGAACAUUGGAAACUAUAUAGUAGAACAAACAAGAAAAAAAAUUAACUCUAACAAUUUCUUAGAGUUAGCUGUCAAAAAAUAGGUUAAAAUAAUUAAGGGCACACAAAGGAUGCCUAGGUAGUAAGAGCCGAUGAAGGACGUGGUAAGCUGCGAUAAGCCUAG